RNAcentral lists this small RNA (157 nucleotides) under Gopherus agassizii (Agassiz's desert tortoise). Its description in RNAcentral is "TUC338 (ENSGAGG00000003207.1)". Lineage: Eukaryota; Metazoa; Chordata; Testudines; Testudinidae. The record is from RNAcentral.
UUGACAGUCAUGGAAUAUGAAGUCCUUUAUUCAUCCACAGAGCAGGUAGCAGAAGUGGCAGUUUCUUCUGCCCUGCCAGUUUUGGCUUAUCCCUGACCUUGUGAUAUUACUUCCAGUGGGAGCAUUUUCCUCUGUGUCCUUCUAAUCAUUGCAUUCU